Nomascus leucogenys (northern white-cheeked gibbon) is the source of this 742-nucleotide non-coding RNA. The record is from the annotation of a RefSeq genome assembly. NCBI's taxonomy places the organism in Eukaryota, Metazoa, Chordata, Mammalia, Primates, Hylobatidae.
GUCUCAGAAUGACGCCCUUGAAAGACGUGUUCCCUUUUCACCAAUGCACAGACCCAGAAGACCCCUCCGUCCUGCAGCCCCUGCCAUGAGCCUUGGGCUCCUGUGCUGUGCGGCCUUUUCUCUCCUGUGGGCAGGUCCAGUGAAUGCUGGUGUCACUCAGACCCCAAAAUUCCAGGUCCUGAAGACAGGACAGAGCAUGACACUGCAGUGUGCCCAGGAUAUGAACCAUAACUACAUGUACUGGUAUCGACAAGACCCAGGCAUGGGGCUGAGGCUGAUUCAUUACUCAACUGGUGAGGGUACCACUGACAAAGGAGAAGUCCCCGAUGGCUACGAUGUCUCCAGAUCAAACACACAGAAUUUCCUGCUCAGGCUGGAGUCGGCUGCUCCCUCCCAGACAUCUGUGUACUUCUGUGCCAGCAGUGAAGCCACAGUGCUGCACGGCUGUCUCCUCUCUGCACAGAAAGGCAGAGGAGGCUCUGCCCUCCUCCCCCACCCCAGACUCAGUGAUGCCCUUGGUCCUAGCACCGGAAACUUUGGAGCCCCAGGGACCCUGACUUGGAGGAAAGACAAUGAGCUCAUCCCUCGGUGCCUGGUGUUGGGGGCACUGUUGGCGCAUCCUACAGAAUGUGCCCAGCAGACAGAGGAGCGGCUGUGGGAUGAGAAGGUGAACUCGGAGAUGCAGCGUGAGGCCUCCGGGUCCAGGCAGCAUGGGAGCCCAAAGCGACGUCCCAUGCGAUAA